RNAcentral lists this unclassified non-coding RNA (224 nucleotides) under Hevea brasiliensis (rubber tree). The record is from RNAcentral. Lineage: Eukaryota; Viridiplantae; Streptophyta; Magnoliopsida; Malpighiales; Euphorbiaceae.
AUAUGGAUCUCAAAAAGCAUUUUAAGCAACUUAAUGAGAAAUGAAAAUUUUGAAAAUGCAACCAUUUGAUGGCUUUGAGGCCUCGAGAGGAGCCUACUUCCAAAUAAAUAGGUUAUGUCCAUGUUUACCUUCCAUCUCAAAAAAACAUUAACAUGUGCAUAUGCCCCAACCCAAUGGAUACAAUUGAAACAAAAUAAGCGACUUAUGAACCAAAUUGAUAAAAU